Molecule: ribosomal RNA, 492 nt
Filed under: uncultured bacterium
Lineage: Bacteria
Description: partial 16S ribosomal RNA
Rfam family: Bacterial small subunit ribosomal RNA
Source: RNAcentral
AUUGGACGCUGGCGGCAUGCUUUACACAUGCAAGUCGAACGGUAACAGGCCUUCGGGUGCUGACGAGUGGCGCACGGGUGAGUAAUGCAUCGGAACGUGCCCAGAGGUGGGGGAUAACGCAGCGAAAGCUGUGCUAAUACCGCAUGUGAUCUGAGGAUGAAAGCGGGGGACCAGGCAGCAAUGUUUGGCCUCGCGCCUUUGGAGCGGCCGAUGUCAGAUUAGGUAGUUGGUGGGGUAAAGGCCUACCAAGCCGACGAUCUGUAGCUGGUCUGAGAGGACGACCAGCCACACUGGGACUGAGACACGGCCCAGACUCCUACGGGAGGCAGCAGUGGGGAAUUUUGGACAAUGGGCGCAAGCCUGAUCCAGCAAUGCCGCGUGCGGGAAGAAGGCCUUCGGGUUGUAAACCGCUUUUGUACGGAACGAAAAGGCUCUGGCUAAUACCUGGGGCUGAUGACGGUACCGUAAGAAUAAGCACCGGCUAACUACGUG